AUGGGUUCUCAUGGUUCCCCUGUCUCGAUUUAUUGGAAUGGCGAUUCGAGAAGGAACAUCAUCUUGUGGAUGGACCAUAGGGCUCUUGACCAAGCCGAGCGAAUUAAUUCUCACAAUUCACCGAUAUUGCAAUUUAAUGGUGGGAGUGUCUCCCCAGAAAUGCAAGCUCCAAAGAUCAGGUUAUAUUUCCUUGGUAGCAUGGCAGCAGCACCCAAUCAGACCACAACCUCGGCGGGUGUGCUCUGCAAUCUUGGCCACCGUCGGCAGGUACGACCUCCGCCGCCACUGAAAGCUACCCCUCCUCAUCACCAUCAACGCCGAGGCGACUUGGAUCAGGGAGCAUAUGGAGCGACACUUGCAGAGGCGAUGUCAGCGGCUGUCGAGUGCUGA
RNAcentral lists this ribosomal RNA (390 nucleotides) under Triticum aestivum (bread wheat). RNAcentral's name for it is "partial small subunit ribosomal RNA". The record is from RNAcentral. Lineage: Eukaryota; Viridiplantae; Streptophyta; Magnoliopsida; Poales; Poaceae.